UGGGGAAUUUUGCACAAUGGGGGAAACCCUGAUGCAGCGACGCCGCGUGAUUUAGAAGGCCUUCGGGUUGUAAAAAUCUUUUCUAUGGGAAGAAAAUGACAGUACCAUAGGAAUAAGGACCGGCUAAUUACGUGCCAGCAGCCGCGGUAAUACGUAAGGUCCGAGCGUUGUCCGGAAUCAUUGGGCGUAAAGGGUACGUAGGCGGGUAAGCAAGUUAGAAGUGAAAUCCUGUAGCUCAACUACAGUAAGCUUUUAAAACUGCUCAUCUUGAGAUAUGGAAGGGAAAGUGGAAUUCCUAGUGUAGCGGUGAAAUGCGCAGAUAUUAGGAGGAAUACCGGUGGCGAAGGCGACUUUCUGGCCAUAAACUGACGCUGAGGUACGAAAGCGUGGGUAGCAAACAGG
RNAcentral lists this ribosomal RNA (402 nucleotides) under Bacteroidota bacterium. RNAcentral describes it as "Bacteroidetes bacterium partial 16S ribosomal RNA". It matches the Rfam family "Bacterial small subunit ribosomal RNA", at positions 355 to 776 of the family's 1533-position model. The record is from RNAcentral. Lineage: Bacteria; Pseudomonadati; Bacteroidota.